This 492-nucleotide ribosomal RNA is filed under the name uncultured bacterium. RNAcentral's name for it is "partial 16S ribosomal RNA". It matches the Rfam family "Bacterial small subunit ribosomal RNA", at positions 29 to 507 of the family's 1533-position model. The record is from RNAcentral.
AGUGAACGCUGGCGGUAGGCCUAACACAUGCAAGUCGAACGGCAGCACAGUAAGAGCUUGCCCUUACGGGUGGCGAGUGGCGGACGGGUGAGGAAUACAUCGGAAUCUACUUUUUCGUGGGGGAUAACGUAGGGAAACUUACGCUAAUACCGCAUACGACCUACAGGUGAAAGCAGGGGAUCUUCGGACCUUGCGCGAUUGAAUGAGCCGAUGUCGGAUUAGCUAGUUGGCGGGGUAAAGGCCCACCAAGGCGACGAUCCGUAGCUGGUCUGAGAGGAUGAUCAGCCACACUGGAACUGAGACACGGUCCAGACUCCUACGGGAGGCAGCAGUGGGGAAUAUUGGACAAUGGGCGCAAGCCUGAUCCAGCCAUACCGCGUGGGUGAAGAAGGCCUUCGGGUUGUAAAGCCCUUUUGUUGGGAAAGAAAAGCAGCAGGUUAAUACCCCGCUGUUCUGACGGUACCCAAAGAAUAAGCACCGGCUAACUUCGUG